UUUCAACCUCCAGUCAUCAACCAUCUUGUGGGAAAGGCUACACAUUGGUAGAAUAAAAAGCGAGAAGUUCCUGGCCUGUGAUACUCCUCCAGCUGAGAGUGUCUGACUGGCAGCAUGUUGGCACCAGCAUUGAGGGAAGCGAUGGGCUUCAGCUCCAGGUUCCUGUCCUGAGACCACAGCAGGAUGUGCCUUGGACAAAGGCUUGGACUCCUGGAUCAUCUGGUGACUUCAAAAAUCUGGUCUCAGGGUGGCGAAUUUUUUUUGUGAAUUCCUAACCUGUGAGCUUAUGAUGAUGGUGCCUGUCAAUUAGCUGAACAAUUGUGGUUUUGAACGUCCUGAGGCCAGGGACUGAAAACACC
Molecule: long non-coding RNA, 359 nt
Organism: Miniopterus natalensis
Lineage: Eukaryota; Metazoa; Chordata; Mammalia; Chiroptera; Miniopteridae
Source: RefSeq, a predicted model, not a curated record